GAGGCUAUAGCUCAGUGGUAGAGAACAUGCUUAGUAUGCACAAGGUCCUGGGUUCAAUCCCCAGUACCUCCA
Molecule: transfer RNA, 72 nt
Filed under: Camelus bactrianus (Bactrian camel)
Lineage: Eukaryota; Metazoa; Chordata; Mammalia; Artiodactyla; Camelidae
Also listed under: 2 other names
Rfam family: tRNA
About the family: Transfer RNA (tRNA) molecules are approximately 80 nucleotides in length. Their secondary structure includes four short double-helical elements and three loops (D, anti-codon, and T loops).
Source: Rfam by way of RNAcentral